GGCCUGUGAUGAUAAUUGCACUAAUUGUGAAGUUGGGUCUUCACAACCAUCUGUUCAAUGAUGAAACUCAGUGCAACUGAGUCU
Molecule: small nucleolar RNA, 84 nt
Organism: Lycium barbarum (goji berry)
Lineage: Eukaryota; Viridiplantae; Streptophyta; Magnoliopsida; Solanales; Solanaceae
Product: small nucleolar RNA snoR114
Exons: 1
Source: RefSeq, a predicted model, not a curated record